GACGAACGCUGGCGGCGUGCUUAACACAUGCAAGUCGAACGGAAAGGCCCUGCUUGCAGGGUACUCGAGUGGCGAACGGGUGAGUAACACGUGGGUGAUCUGCCCUGCACUUCGGGAUAAGCCUGGGAAACUGGGUCUAAUACCGGAUAGGAGCCAUUUUUAGUGUGAUGGUUGGAAAGUUUUUUCGGUGUAGGAUGAGCUCGCGGCCUAUCAGCUUGUUGGUGGGGUAAUGGCCUACCAAGGCGGCGACGGGUAGCCGGCCUGAGAGGGUGGACGGCCACAUUGGGACUGAGAUAAGGCCCAGACUCCUACGGGAGGCAGAAGUGGGGAAGAUUGCACAAUGGGCGCAAGCCUGAUGCAGCGACGCCGCGUGGGGGAUGACGGCCUUCGGGUUGUAAACUCCUUUCGCUAGGGACGAAGCUUUUUGUGACGGUACCUAGAUAAGAAGCACCGGCUAACUACGUG
RNAcentral lists this ribosomal RNA (465 nucleotides) under uncultured bacterium. RNAcentral's name for it is "partial 16S ribosomal RNA". It matches the Rfam family "Bacterial small subunit ribosomal RNA", at positions 28 to 507 of the family's 1533-position model. The record is from RNAcentral.